AUUAGUGGUUAAGAAUGAUGGAAACACCUCUUCCCAUCCCGAACAGAGAAGUUAAGCAUCAUUUCGCCGAUGGUACUGCGAAAGUGGGAGAGUAGGUUUCUGCGAAUU
This 108-nucleotide ribosomal RNA is filed under the name Muribaculaceae bacterium. Lineage: Bacteria; Pseudomonadati; Bacteroidota; Bacteroidia; Bacteroidales; Muribaculaceae. The record is from RNAcentral.